GACGUAGGGUGCAAGCGUUGUCCGGAUUUACUGGGCGUAAAGAGCGCGUAGGCGGUCUGUUAAGUGUAGAGUGAAAUCUCUGGGCUCACCCCGGAAACUGCUCUGCAUACUGGCAGACUUGAGGGAAGCAGAGGUUUGUGGAAUUCCUGGUGUAGCGGUGAAAUGCGUUGAUAUCAGGAGGAACACCCCAUGGCGAAGGCAGCAAACUGGGCUUCAUCUGACGCUGAUGCGCGAAAGCGUGGGUAGCAAACAGG
This 254-nucleotide ribosomal RNA is filed under the name uncultured bacterium. RNAcentral describes it as "partial 16S ribosomal RNA". It matches the Rfam family "Bacterial small subunit ribosomal RNA", at positions 524 to 776 of the family's 1533-position model. The record is from RNAcentral.